Molecule: ribosomal RNA, 433 nt
Filed under: uncultured bacterium
Lineage: Bacteria
Description: partial 16S ribosomal RNA
Rfam family: Bacterial small subunit ribosomal RNA
Source: RNAcentral
AACGAACGCUGGCGGCAGGCUUAACACAUGCAAGUCGAACGCACCUUUCGGGGUGAGUGGCAGACGGGUGAGUAACGCGUGGGAAUCUACCCUUCUCUACGGGAUAGCUCCGGGAAACUGGAAUUAGUACCGUAUACGUCCUGAGGGAGAAAGAUUUAUCGGGGAAGGAUGAGCCCGCGUUGGAUUAGCUAGUUGGUGGGGUAAAGGCCUACCAAGGCGACGAUCCAUAGCUGGUCUAAGAGGAUGAUCAGCCACAUUGGGACUGAGACACGGCCCAAACUCCUACGGGAGGCAGCAGUGGGGAAUAUUGGACAAUGGGCGCAAGCCUGAUCCAGCCAUGCCGCGUGAGUGAUGAAGGCCCUAGGGUUGUAAAGCUCUUUCAGUGGGGACGAUAAUGACGGUACCCACAGAAGAAGCCCCGGCUAACUUCGUG